This 564-nucleotide ribosomal RNA is filed under the name uncultured Glomeromycotina. Its description in RNAcentral is "SSU rRNA". It matches the Rfam family "Eukaryotic small subunit ribosomal RNA", at positions 548 to 1114 of the family's 1831-position model. The record is from RNAcentral. Lineage: Eukaryota; Fungi; Glomeromycota.
UUGGAGGGCAAGUCUGGUGCCAGCAGCCGCGGUAAUUCCAGCUCCAAUAGCGUAUAUUAAAGUUGUUGCAGUUAAAAAGCUCGUAGUUGAACUUCGGGAUCAAUUAGUUGGUCGUGCCUUGGUAUGUACUGAUUUUAUUGGUUCUCACCUUCUAAAGAACUAUAAUGUCAUUUAUUUGAUGUUAUAGGGAAUUAGGACUGUUACCUUGAAAAAAUUAGAGUGUUUAAAGCAGGCUCACGCUUGAAUACAUUAGCAUGGAAUAAUGAAAUAGGACAUCGCAUUCUAUUUUGUUGGUUUCUAGGAUCGAUGUAAUGAUUAAUAGGGAUAGUUGGGGGCAUUAGUAUUCAAUUGUCAGAGGUGAAAUUCUUGGAUUUAUUGAAGACUAACUACUGCGAAAGCAUUCGCCAAGGAUGUUUUCAUUAAUCAAGAACGAAAGUUAGGGGAUCGAAGACGAUCAGAUACCGUCGUAGUCUUAACCAUAAACUAUGCCGACUAGGGAUCGGAUGAUGUUGAUUUUUUAAUGACUCAUUCGGCACCUUACGGGAAACCAAAGUGUUUGGGUUC